This 512-nucleotide ribosomal RNA is filed under the name uncultured bacterium. Its description in RNAcentral is "bacterial SSU rRNA". It matches the Rfam family "Bacterial small subunit ribosomal RNA", at positions 989 to 1501 of the family's 1533-position model. The record is from RNAcentral.
UCCUGAAGCCUGGAGAGAUCCGGGUGUGCCCGAAAGGGAACGGGAACACAGGUGCUGCAUGGCUGUCGUCAGCUCGUGUCGUGAGAUGUUGGGUUAAGUCCCGCAACGAGCGCAACCCUUGUCAUUAGUUGCUACAUUUAGUUGGGCACUCUAAUGAGACUGCCGGUGACAAACCGGAGGAAGGUGGGGAUGACGUCAAGUCCUCAUGGCCCUUAUGGGUAGGGCUUCACACGUAAUACAAUGGUCGGUACAGAGGGUUGCCAAGCCGCGAGGUGGAGCCAAUCCCAGAAAGCCGAUCGUAGUCCGGAUCGCAGUCUGCAACUCGACUGCGUGAAGUCGGAAUCGCUAGUAAUCGCGGAUCAGCAUGUCGCGGUGAAUACGUUCCCGGGUCUUGUACACACCGCCCGUCACACCAUGGGAGCGGGUUUCACCAGAAGCCGGUCGCCUAACCGCAAGGGGGGCGCCGACCACGGUGAGAUUCGUGACUGGGGUGAAGUCGUAACAAGGUAACC